This 1548-nucleotide long non-coding RNA is filed under the name Homo sapiens (human). Its description in RNAcentral is "HSALNT0333965". The record is from RNAcentral. Lineage: Eukaryota; Metazoa; Chordata; Mammalia; Primates; Hominidae.
UACCUGUCCAUUCCAAGGAUUCGGUCCAGCAGAAGCGUGAGGAGGUGGCGGAGGCCCCGAGGGCUUUGCGUCAUCACUUCUGCGGCCUGCGGGCGAGAAGGUGCGCUUCGGGAGUAGCGCGGGAGGACAGGAGGCGCAGGUUGUGAGGGACGCAGGCCCUGGGGCUUCGGUCUCUGUCCUCCGAGCUCAGAGCCUCCAGGCUUCUUCCCGGCCGCGCGCUCAGCACUCACUGUCUUACGGUCCCGAAGCGCUUUAAGGUGCGCAGUCCGCAGGCCUUGCCUACUGAUCUUCCAGCCACCCCUUGAAGGAAGCAGUUGCAGAGGCAUAGAGCCGGCCAUCUCGCACAAUGUCUUCUACCAGCUGCUCAUAGUCCUCUGCAAAGUCAACCAAGGUAACAUAGGGAAUCUGGAAGCCACGGGCGCUGUUGGCCUCGCUUGUCUUGAAGUUGAUCCAGAGCUUCCUGGAACGGGCAGUGAAGGCAAUGGGACGCUCGUAGGUCUGGCAGAUUUGGACUGCCCUUCCCUGGCCCAGCUCUGCAAGCCACCCACAGUUCUUUCUCAUGACGAGGACGUCCCCACACUCAUCCUCAGAUGGCAGGAAGAUCUCUGACGCUGAGCACAGUGCCAAACCUAUAUAGAAACUCAUUUGGGAUAUGGAGGAGAAUAUGCCACCAGUUCUCCAAAGUGGAGGGUUCUUCCCAGCAGGAAACCUCUCAACUCUGGCUGGCUGACCUGCUGCCCUAGCCUCCCCCCUCCUCUCGCAGCUGUUGGGCCAAAAGACACAAAGAACGAGCCCAGUCCUCCUCGUCCCCACUCCUUGUGACCAGGGGAUAUGGACCUAAUGAAUCAUCAUUUUCAGUAUGGCUACCCUGCCUUUUUCCUCCACCCUUUCCCCCCAUUCUCCCUCAGACCUGGCUAAUUAAAAGGAAGGGAAACAGAAUGCAUAAUGUGGGUAACUAUACUGUAAUAACAGUUAACACAAAGUGUUUCCAUUUGCCAAGCACUGUUCUAAGUACUUUUUAUGUAAUCACUCUUUUAAUCACAACACAGUAUGAGGCGAGCACUAUGGAAAACUGAGGCACAGAGACAUUAAGUGACUUGUCCAGGAUCACAGAGCUAGUAGGAGACAGGGCUGGGAUCUGAACCCAGCUUCAGUCCUCCUAACUAGUAUCCUACUCUCCCUUUGACCAGUACAGCCUUUCGAGGGGUAGACAUCAUUUCCCCAGAGCCCACUGGGAAGGUCUGAGGAAUGUGGGGUAAGAAGGUUAUGGAACACACCUGUGACCUCAUGCACACACACAGUCAGGGCUCAAAUAUCCUUCCAGACCCAGGAGCAAAUGUGAAUCGCAUGUCCAUUAACUAAGAGGGUUAGGGACCCAUGGGGGAUAGGAAUGAGAGUAGGGAAACAAGGUGGGGUAGGGGAAGGGGGCACUAAGGAACUGGCUGGACUUCUCUGUCCCUUGAACUGAGAUGAAACAGGCAGAUAGGAGACAACCCUUAGCUAUGUCCUGGGUUCUUCAUAAGAAGGAGGUUGAGGAGGUGUCAUCCC